Molecule: signal recognition particle RNA, 268 nt
Filed under: Helcococcus ovis
Lineage: Bacteria; Bacillati; Bacillota; Tissierellia; Tissierellales; Peptoniphilaceae
Also listed under: 1 other name
Description: Bacterial large signal recognition particle RNA
Rfam family: Bacterial large signal recognition particle RNA
About the family: The signal recognition particle (SRP) is a universally conserved ribonucleoprotein involved in the co-translational targeting of proteins to membranes.
Source: Rfam by way of RNAcentral
CAGCACUAAACGGGGUGGUAGCGGUACCCUGUCACCCGCAAUCCGCUAUAGCGGGGUUGAAUUCCCAGAUUGAGACUUGAUAAUUUGUUGAUAUGCGCUUAAAAAGUGGUGUUGACAGGAUGGUCUCAUGCAACAAGAAUCUAUGAACCAUGUCAGGUCCGGAAGGAAGCAGCAUUAAGUAGUCCCUCUUGUGUGCCGUGAGGUAGCCUUUCUCGAGCUAACUAGUCUGAAAGCAGCAGCGGGUUUUAAGCCGAUACUGGGUGUGCAU